Molecule: unclassified non-coding RNA, 319 nt
Filed under: uncultured fungus
Lineage: Eukaryota; Fungi
Description: partial contains 5.8S rRNA and ITS2
Source: RNAcentral
AACGCAAGUUGCGCCCGAAGCCAUCUGGUCGAGGGCACGUCUGCCUGGGUGUCACGCAUCGUUGCCCCCAACCCCAUCGCCUCCCCAAGAGACGAGGGCAGUUUGUGGGGCGGACAUUGGCCUCCCGUGCGCUUCCACUUGCGGUUGGCCUAAAAGCGAGUCCUAGGCGACGAGCGCCACGACAAUCGGUGGUUACCAAACCCUCGUGUCCCGUCGUGCGGGCCUCGUCGCUCACCUUGUGCUCUGUGACCCUGUAGUGUCGCGAUCGCGACUCUUCCAAGGCGACCCCAGGUCAGGCGGGACUACCCGCUGAAUUUAA